This 400-nucleotide ribosomal RNA is filed under the name uncultured bacterium. RNAcentral describes it as "bacterial SSU rRNA". It matches the Rfam family "Bacterial small subunit ribosomal RNA", at positions 356 to 773 of the family's 1533-position model. The record is from RNAcentral.
GGGGAAUAUUGCACAAUGGGGGAAACCCUGAUGCAGCAACGCCGCGUGAGCGAUGAAGGCCUUCGGGUUGUAAAGCUCUGUCUUCGCUGACGAUAAUGACGGUAGGCGAGGAGGAAGCCACGGCUAACUACGUGCCAGCAGCCGCGGUAAUACGUAGGUGGCAAGCGUUGUCCGGAAUUACUGGGCGUAAAGGAUGCGUAGGCGGCCUCUUAAGUGGGAUGUGAAAUGCCGGGGCUUAACCCCGGAGGUGCAUUCCAUACUGGGAGGCUAGAGUGCAGGAGAGGAAAGCGGAAUUCCCAGUGUAGCGGUGAAAUGCGUAGAGAUUGGGAGGAACACCAGUGGCGAAGGCGGCUUUCUGGACUGUAACUGACGCUGAGGCAUGAAAGUGUGGGGAGCAAAC